RNAcentral lists this ribosomal RNA (445 nucleotides) under uncultured bacterium. RNAcentral's name for it is "partial 16S ribosomal RNA". It matches the Rfam family "Bacterial small subunit ribosomal RNA", at positions 354 to 796 of the family's 1533-position model. The record is from RNAcentral.
GUGAGGAAUAUUGCGUAAUGGAGGCAACUCUGACGCAGCCAUGCCGCGUGCAGGAAGAAGGCGCUACGCGUUGUAAACUGCUUUUAACCGGGAAGAAACCCCAGGACGUGUCCUGGGUUGACGGUACCGGAGGAAUAAGCACCGGCUAACUUCGUGCCAGCAGCCGCGGUAAUACGAAGGGUGCAAGCGUUAUCCGGAUUCAUUGGGUUUAAAGGGUGCGUAGGCGGAGCGUUAAGUCAGUGGUGAAAUCCUGCAGCUUAACUGUAGACUUGCCAUUGAUACUGGCGCUCUUGAGUGCGCUUGAAGUGGGCGGAAUGUGCCGUGUAGCGGUGAAAUGCUUAGAUAUGGCACAGAACACCAAUUGCGAAGGCAGCUCACUAAGGCGAUACUGACGCUGAGGCACGAAAGCGUGGGGAUCGAACAGGAUUAGAAACCCCAGUAGUCC